CGUUGGCUGCCUCCGAGAGCGGCCUGAUUGGCUGCCGGGCUCCGCCGUUUAAAAGAACCUCCUCGCCCCGCCAUUGGAAGGGACGCUCAUGAAUAUGAAUCACGGCCGGGCGCCGAUUGGCCGGCGCCGGCCCAGGUCAUUCAUUCAAAAGAACACCCGCCUGGGGAAGGGGAGCCGGGCGCUGGGGGAAAGUUUGCAGCGUGAGCGAGGGUGGGCUGCGGCUGCUGGCCGGGCCAGUCUCCGGGCCCACGCUUCUGCCUCGGCCACAUCUGCGGGACUAUGGGCUCUACUCCGCUCUCCUGGGCGCCUGGCCCCGCUCCGCUCACCCGGCCCCUGUCCACACGUCCAGGGGCUGUUUAAAGCGUGCUCCCACCCGCCGGGCAGUCCUGCUUUCGGGGCAGGUGUCAAACGCCAGCCGCAGGCUCAGGGCAGUGCCAGGCAGCGAAAAAGCCGGAGCUGGGGGUUAAUCCGAUCCUCAGAGAACUAAGGGGAAACCCAGCGUGGUUUCAAAUAAAUAAUACUCACGUUGUGUGCUAAGGAUCACUGACUCCAUUCACUUCACAGAAGACAUGCCCUUAAUGAGUCUGCUCCCCUCCCUGCACAAAGUCUGAGAUCGCUACGUUCGAGGGGAAUCGAUAUGGAGCGGAUCAAAAGGGGGGGGGAGGGUCUGGAAAGACAAGAUUGCAGAGGCAAAACUCCAUGCCACAGGAAAAGGGGCUUUUCGUUGCAGUGAGAUCUUUACCCGCCACUGGGAUGAGUGAAAUACAGCAACUGGCCAGAACAGGCUGGGAGUAAUAUGGAAGCAGUAUGAGGAGGCCUUGCUGGGAGGGCACAACUAACUUCUCUGACAUGACCUCUAUAGCCAACCAAGGAGCAGCACUGAUAAAUCUCCAAAGAGCCCAUCCCAUACCAAGGAAAGUCACCACCAGGGAAGAAUCAGAGGCAAGCAAGUUUGUCCUAAAGACCCUGGGAAAACUUUAACAGCAGGUGUUUGGCACAAGUUUUCAAACAAAGCAGCAGAUGACAAUAAAAUUGCAACCACUCUCCUUUCCUUGUAGUUUUGAAAUCCCAAGGUAAGGACCACAAUGCUGUGCAGUGCUGCCAACAGAUCAGAAGGCACAGACGACCCAAAGUCGCCUAGUUCUGCUAGUCAUGUGGCCCCCAGAGAGUUUAGUACUGCUAGUACCACCCAUGGGCCCCUUUACCCUUCACAAGAACGGACUGCCUGGUCAAUGGAGAAGAAGAAUUAACUCAUUGGAGGAGAAAGAAUACACAAUGUUAUUUGCAUAUUUAAGCAGGUCAGGCUGCAGGUCACAUCUAUGUUUUCAGACAGACCCCAAAGCUGGUCUUCUCUCUCCCUUUUCCUUUCUCCUUUUCCUCACUGACACAUCCCUGACAGUGUUGCUGUUUGCUCAGCUCUCUAUUAACACUCCAUCAGACCCUCUUUUGUCACGGGAGUCCUGCUGCUGUCACACUCCCUGCAAAUGCCCAGUUCCAACUGUUCUCCAAAUUGUCACAGAUGCUUCUGGUUCCAAUAUUUGCCCCUCUCCCUGACCCCAGAACUUUCUGCCUGACUAUAAGGGGAGCUUAAAGAGGCUCUGUGCAUGGCACUUUGCAGCCAUCAAUA
This is a long non-coding RNA of Mauremys reevesii (Reeves's turtle), 1627 nucleotides long. RefSeq lists it as uncharacterized. The transcript is spliced from 3 exons. NCBI's taxonomy places the organism in Eukaryota, Metazoa, Chordata, Testudines, Geoemydidae. The record is from RefSeq and is a predicted model, not a curated record.